AUGCUUUUCCUAAAGAUUAAGCCAUGCAUGUCUAAGACUAAGAGGAAGCAAUUCUCUCUGAAUCUGCGAACGGCUCCGCAAACCAGUUGUAAACCGUAGCAAGGCUGAACCGGUGAAACCCUCGGGCGGUAGCCGGCGAAAUAAGGAUAACCCUGGUAAUUCUGAGGCUAAUACUUGACAAACCGAACCGUCCUCGGCGCUCGCGCUGGGGGCGGGAACGUGCGAUGUUAAAAGCUGGGAUCUUAUCAUGAAUGAACG
This 258-nucleotide ribosomal RNA is filed under the name uncultured Stemonitidae. RNAcentral describes it as "partial 18S ribosomal RNA". It matches the Rfam family "Eukaryotic small subunit ribosomal RNA", at positions 28 to 241 of the family's 1831-position model. The record is from RNAcentral. Lineage: Eukaryota; Evosea; Eumycetozoa; Stemonitida.